RNAcentral lists this ribosomal RNA (497 nucleotides) under uncultured bacterium. Its description in RNAcentral is "partial 16S ribosomal RNA". It matches the Rfam family "Bacterial small subunit ribosomal RNA", at positions 28 to 507 of the family's 1533-position model. The record is from RNAcentral.
GAUGAACGCUGGCGGCGUGCCUAAUACAUGCAAGUCGAGCGAACAGACGAGGAGCUUGCUCCUCUGACGUUAGCGGCGGACGGGUGAGUAACACGUGGAUAACCUACCUAUAAGACUGGGAUAACUUCGGGAAACCGGAGCUAAUACCGGAUAAUAUAUUGAACCGCAUGGUUCAAUAGUGAAAGACGGUUUUGCUGUCACUUAUAGAUGGAUCCGCGCCGCAUUAGCUAGUUGGUAAGGUAACGGCUUACCAAGGCGACGAUGCGUAGCCGACCUGAGAGGGUGAUCGGCCACCCCGGAACUGAGACACGGUCCCGACUCCUACGGGAGGCAGCAGUAGGGAAUCUUCCGCCAUGGGCGGAAGCCUUACGGGGCAACGCCGCGUGAGUUAUGAAGGUUUUCCGAUCGUAAAACUCUGUUAUUAGGGAAGAACAAAUGUGUAAGUAACUAUGCACGUCUUGACGGUACCUAAUCAGAAAGCCACGGCUAACUACGUG